This 492-nucleotide ribosomal RNA is filed under the name uncultured bacterium. RNAcentral's name for it is "partial 16S ribosomal RNA". It matches the Rfam family "Bacterial small subunit ribosomal RNA", at positions 29 to 507 of the family's 1533-position model. The record is from RNAcentral.
AUUGAGCGCUGGCGGCAUGCUUUACACAUGCAAGUCGAACGGUAACAGGCCUUCGGGUGCUGACGAGUGGCGAACGGGUGAGUAAUGCAUCGGAACGUACCCAGAGGUGGGGGAUAACGCAGCGAAAGCUGUGCUAAUACCGCAUGUGAUCUGAGGAUGAAAGCGGGGGACCGAGCAGCAAUGUUUGGCCUCGCGCCUUUGGAGCGGCCGAUGUCGGAUUAGCUAGUUGGUGGGGUAAAGGCCUACCAAGGCGACGAUCCGUAGCUGGUCUGAGAGGACGACCAGCCACACUGGGACUGAGACACGGCCCAGACUCCUACGGGAGGCAGCAGUGGGGAAUUUUGGACAAUGGGCGCAAGCCUGAUCCAGCAAUGCCGCGUGCGGGAAGAAGGCCUUCGGGUUGUAAACCGCUUUUGGCAGGAACGAAACGGUGUCCGCUAAUACCGGGCGCUAAUGACGGUACCUGCAGAAUAAGCACCGGCUAACUACGUG